GCGUGCCCCUGUCAUAGGUGCAUCUGUCCCUUAUGUGGCUGAUGUGGUCAAAAAGGUGCCAAAAGUAACUCUCUCCCUUGAUGGUCACUGUUUAGUUGGUCCCCAAUUAUCCAGCAAUGUUUUAAGGAAGAUACAGGU
This is a small nucleolar RNA of Heteronotia binoei (common prickly gecko), 138 nucleotides long. Lineage: Eukaryota; Metazoa; Chordata; Lepidosauria; Squamata; Gekkonidae. The record is from RefSeq and is a predicted model, not a curated record.